CCCUUAGAUGUUCUGGGCCGCACGCGCGCUACACUGACGGAGGCAGCGAGCAUGUCCUUCGCCGAGAGGUGUGGGGAAUCUUGUGAGUCUCCGUCGUGCUGGGGAUAGAUGGUUGCAAUUGUCGAUCUUGAACGAGGAAUUCCUAGUAAGCGCGAGUCAUCAGCUCGCGCUGAUUACGUCCCUGCCCUUUGUACACACCGCCCGUCGUUCCUACCGAUUGAAUGAUCCGAUGAAUAUCAUGGAUUGAGGAUGCAAGUAGGUUCACCUAUCUUCAUCUUCGAGAAGUGAAGUAAAUCUUAUCAUUUAGAGGAAGGAGAAGUCGUAACA
RNAcentral lists this ribosomal RNA (327 nucleotides) under uncultured eukaryote. RNAcentral's name for it is "partial 18S ribosomal RNA". It matches the Rfam family "Eukaryotic small subunit ribosomal RNA", at positions 1470 to 1796 of the family's 1831-position model. The record is from RNAcentral.